RNAcentral lists this long non-coding RNA (18915 nucleotides) under Vitis vinifera (wine grape). RNAcentral's name for it is "long non-coding RNA (VVIN_LNC006506)". The record is from RNAcentral. Lineage: Eukaryota; Viridiplantae; Streptophyta; Magnoliopsida; Vitales; Vitaceae.
UUUAGUAAUAGGUUACUUGAAAUCAACUUUGUUAGCAACAUGCUAGUUUGAAUUCUCCUACAGAUUUAAGUUUCAAACAUGGGUUAAAACUCAUCAAAUGCAUAAAUAAUUGAUAUCUCAAUUAUAUUGUUUAGGUACUAAAUCAUUUUUAAGGAUAAAGAUAUGCAUGAAUACAAUAAAGAAGAAGUGGCAAUGGCAUGCACUCCAUUUAAGCAAUAGUAAUAGUAUUUCCAUUUUCUGAUAUUGAAUAUAAACCUUUUAUAAUAUCAGGUAUCUUCCAUAAAGUAGUAGAAACUGUUUCCUCAGUGCCAAUAUGAUUUUUAAUUCAUAAAGAAACAUUAAAGGUACCGAUUUACUGAUAAUUAUUUGUGUCUGUCACUAAGCCAAAUGAAUGUGUUGAUAAUUUUGAGAAUCUCAAUGUUAUAUCUAUGGAUAUUGUGUCAUAUUUGAAAAUUUCAUUCCAAGUUGUAUAUAUUAGAUAUGUAGAUGGGGAUAUGAAUAUAUUUUUGAGAUCAAAAGUAGGUAUUGGACACAUGGUAGAGGCAACACUUCUAAAGGUAUUGGAAACUCACUUAAUUUGUUAGGUGGAAGCCUAAGAGAGGUUAUGGAUUAGGUUUUUGAAGAUGGAAGCCAAUUUUUAGGGGUUCUCAGAUAAAUAAAAAUUGAUGGAAUUCCAGAAAAUAAGUUGCUGGAAUUUGGUUUUGGAUGUUGGGUUGAUUACUGGAAGGUAGAAAUUGGCUUUAAGGUUAUACAAGUUUGGUUUUCAGGUUAGAAAAUGAAGAAAUGACAGCUAGUUUGAGUUGUACUGCACUUAUGACUUGCAUAAUAAUUGAGAAGGAAAAGAAUGACUAAAAGAUGUAGAAUUAAGAGGAGGAAGAAAUCAAGUUGGGAUUAAAUAAUCAAACCAAAAUAUUAAAUUAAUCAAACUCUAAUUUUUUUUGAAGUUGUGUUGCAACUGUGUAGAAUCUUGUAAAACUUUCUAAACAUGAGAAAACCUUAAUAAAACUACAAUAACCAAUAUUGGAAUCAAAUAGGGAUUUAAAUCUCUAACAGAGAAAAUUUUUGAACACCUAUUCUAUUCUAAAAUCCAUUGGAAGAUCUCCUAAUUUGAUUAACUUUAGAAACUUGAUUAGUAGGAAUUUUUACAUUUUACCCAUAAUGAGGGAAUUUGGGGAAAAGAAAGGAAUUGAAUUGACAAUAGAAAUUCCAGUACUUCAUAAAUGUUUUCAUUUCUUUGUACUUAGUUAAAAAGAUUUAAAAGUCAUUAGCCCCCUUUUUCAUAUUUUAGUGUUAUUUCUGUAUGAAACGGUGUCAAUUUCUUUAAUCUUCCUUUAAAAACCCUCUGACCUUGAGUUAUCUCAAUUACUAUUAAAGCAAGAUAACACAUGUCUAUUAGUUCAAUGCCUAUGUAGUAAAUAUAAAUCAAUUGGGUUAGAUAUAACGGAAUCUGAAGAUAAAGCCCUAUUCAUUGGCCCUCGAAAAGAGGCAUGGAAGCAAUGUCAAUGAAAACGUUCUAGGUUGUUCUUUACGAAUUAGAAGGCCAAGGGAGUGGUUAGUUUGUUGGCCAGACUAGAUGGGCUCUAAUAAAGAAGAUAGUUUAAAUGAUAAGAUAGGAUUAUGAUUUGAAGUAUAAUAAAAAAUUAUUAUGUUAGUUGCAACAUAUUCUAUGUGUGUUUGUUUGCUUAUUGAUAUAGUAUUAUGCAUUAUCAUGGUGGAAAGAAACCUAGAUUUGUUUCGAGAAAAAGAAAAUAGACUACUGCAUUGCUUCAAAAUGAUAGAACAGGAAACUUAAGUGCUUCACCAUUAAGGCUUAGCCUUUAAUGUCAAGAAUGGUAUCAUUUUUGAGUAACAUCAAAUCCUAGACUAGCCCCUAUAAUUUUUUUUAUCUUCCUCACAGAAUGUUAGGCUUUGAACUUUACCCUAUAUUUUAUCUGGUUCUCAUAACAUCAGCUUGGGGCUUAAGUGGCUCUUGUAUUACAAUCAAUUAUUUCCAUACAACUCAUAGAAUUUUUAGCUUAACCCGUUCUAUUUCAAUGUCCAUUCCAAUCAUUCAUUAUCAAUCAUACUUUAGUAUCGGUUUCAUAAUUUUAUAUGCAGUUGAUUAGUUUUGAGCACAAUCCUUAUUGUUAUCUAUAGAAUAAUGGAUUGAAACAUAAUUGAAGGUAACCAAAAACAUAAAUAAAUACAUGCUCAUUUGUAUAUAAAGCUUGCUUUUAACUUAACAUUUGGUAAAAAGUGGGAAGAAGAAAAACAAAAGUUGAGUACUCCGAUUUUUUCUGUUCCUAUAACAAAAAUUAGUGCUCGUCUCCUUCAUUUUUGGAGUUCUUAAGAGUGGUCCCCUUCAUUUUUGGAGUUUUUAACUGUGGUCCCCUCCAUUUUUGGAGUUUUUAACGGUGGUCCCUUCCAUUUUUGGUAUCUUUAACAAAAUAAUCAUGGUGGCCCCCCAUUCCAUAUCCAUUUUCUUUACCAAAACAAAAGAUUUUCUCUCUGCCAAGCUCACAAUGAAAAUAAAAUAAAAAACCAAACACAUCUCUACCAAGCUCAAGAUGAAAAUAAAAUAAAAAACCAAACACAUCUACAAUAAUAAACUAAAAUAUGUGAAAACCAAAUAGAUUUACAAAAAAAAAAAUUAAAAUUUAUGUAAACUAAAAAACUCAUAAAUCUUACUUGACCAAUGAUAGAACAAGAUGAAAAUUUGGAAAAUAUUGAAUUUGAGCCAAAGAUGAACCAAAGACAGCCAGAUGCAGUAGGAGACAAUGGGAAGAAUGAAUAAAAAGGCAAAACCUUAAAGGUAAGAAACCUAACCAAAAAGGGAAAUGAAUUGAAAAUUCUUCAUAACUGUAGUUGGUAACUAUGGUUUUGACCGAUUUUUAAAAAAUUUAAAACCAUAAUUGGUGACUAUGGUUUCAUGACCUCGAUUCCUACGUGGUAUAGACGUACUAGAUUGAGUAUUAUUUUGGAAAUCAGUUUACUUUUUUAUUUAUUUUUUAAAUGUCCUAUUUUGGGUCAAAACUCAUGUGUUGUUGGGGACUUUGGCUGGGCUCAUUUUUGUAUCAAUUUGCUUUGAAAAGGUUCUUCAUGUAGACCUUUAGAAGAACACAUGGGAUAAGUUGUUUGAUGGAUUUUGGCACCUGCUUCGAAUUGUGUGGCUUUUUUAACUUCUACUGCUAGUUUAUUUUUUUAAAUGGUAGUUUGAAAAAAAAAAAUCUUAAAGUAUGGUAGUUACAAAACUAUUGAUAAAUUUAUUACACUUUUUGUCACAAAAGUGACACAUUCCAUAGUUUUCAUAUCAACGAUACAUGUUAAAAAAAAAUUGAAUUUACACUAAAUGUUUCUUAAAAAAAACACAUAUUGCAAUUCUAUUAAAUCAAAUUUAUACUAAAAGAUAUUUUUUUUAAUAGACACUUUUUCAUAAUUUUUUUAUUAAUCACGCAAGCUAAAACAUCGAAUUUAGGUGUCUCUUGAAGAGACGCUUUCAUAUUAACCACAUAGUGAAAAAAAUUUAAAAAAAAUACACUUAAUAUAUCUCCAUAAUUCCACAAAAUUGAAUUUAUACUAAAUGUGUCUUUUAAAAAUAUGCCUUUCACAAUUUUUAUAUUAACCACCCAUCGAAAAAAUUAAAUUUAUAUUAAAGGUAUAUUUUGAAAAGACAUUUUUAAUAUAAAUUUAAUUAAUUUAUAUUAAAGUAUCUUUUAAAAAGACACUUUAAAAAUAUAAUUUUGUAGAAUUAUGAAAAAUGCAUUUUGAAGUGAGUAUAAAUUCAAUUUUUUUUCUCACUGUGUAAUUAAUAUGAAAACCAUUUCAUUACAAUCCAUCUAUAUGUUUUGCUAGUAGUGUAAGUUUCAUGGGAUUGCAUUUUCCUUCUACAGAAAAUGCAUGGUCUGAACUGGCCAUUGAAUUGUGCCCACGGUAUAUCCCAUUGUUAAAUAAUGGAUGAUCUGCAAAUAAUCUGAACUGAUUCUAAGCCAUCUUUUUCAGAACAUGAGCUGAUUAACCCCUAGUUUUCUAAUGAUUUGUUUUCUUCACUUGUCCUCAUGAUGCUCUACCAUUACUGGAUCCAUGAAGCUAAAGUCACAUUUCAAAUGAUACAAAACAUGUUACCGAAUAUCUUUUCACUUGUCUCAAUACUAUUUUACUUGUAGUGCAAGUAUCUAAAGAUCCCAUUGAAAAGAAAAACGUGGGUUUGCUUAAUCAUCAUAAAAAAGGUGGGAUCAAGAAAUGACAUUUCUAUACUCUCGGAUAUCCUCUCUGCAGCUUCUAUGAUUAAGGAACAAACCCAAGAUGAGCUCAGGUGUCCCAGAUCAUCACAACCGCGAUUACCCCGACACCCAACAACACUGCUAAGAACUUGUAGUUGGGGGUGUCAAAGGGAACUGUCCUCUGGCAAUUGUAUCCCUUGGACAGUAGAUGGUUUAUUGAGACAUAGAUGAAGAUCCCACAUGCUAGCCCCAUUGAUAUAGCGUAUAUCCAGUCAGCCACAGCGCCCUGGGUAGUGGCAUCUAUGACGAUACCAAUGGCCACUCCAACUGGGCUAGAAAUGGCAAAUGCAAAGGCAUAGGCUACACAGGAGAGGAGGGGUCUGUCUGGAAUCAUCCGAAGGAGAGCUAUUCCCAUUGCAAUGGCUGCAAAUAUCUUGUGGAGACAGACCGUCCAUAGAGCUCUCCAAGCGUCAGCUUCGGUCUCUGCAACUCCAAUUGCAAUGCCCUCAAAUACAGAGUGGAAACACAGUGCAAAGAUGAGUAAUAUGUUGUCCCCAAGCGAUGUGGCAGUUCUCAGAGGGGCGUUUACAAAGUGGAGCUCUGUGCAAUUCUGAUCCUGUUAAGGGAUAGUAAGUAUUCAUUUAGCUGUCUCAGGCAUUUUAAAACGUUUUUCCUUGAAUUUUGUAAGCGAUAGAGAAUCAAGGUUUCCCUAUCAUCUUACCUGACCCAGAGACUCUGAAUUUCCGCCAUUACUACUACUUUUUCCUUGCAUAUUUGCUGUAACAAAGGAAUGAAAAUAAUAUAAGAAUGAAAGUAGAUGAUAAUACCAUUAUGAAAGAGAGUUCAAAUCCAGUGGGAGUAGGAUUUUGUCUCAUUCUUAUUCUGAUUCUAAAAAACCAUCCAAAUACAUUAAAAUGAAAAUUGAAUGGAUUUCUCAAUCGCUAUCAUAUGGCCAAGUGCACUUAUGAGAUUACCAUCUUAUAAAACCUCAACAGUCAACAUCAUAUGUUUCGUAAGGUUAUGGUUGGUUCUCGGAAAGUACAAAGAAAAGAAAAAAAUUAUUAAGGAAAAUGAUUUUCUCAUAUUUGGUUACCUUAUAAAAUAUUCCAAAAAAAAUUAAAUAUAAUUAAAAUUAGUAAGAAAUUUAUGCAUUUUAAAAUUAUUUAAUCUUCAUUAUGAUGAGUUAAAAUAAAUAAAAUGAAUUUAAAGUAAAAAAUAAAAAUAAUUUAUCAUCUUUAACUCUAUUUUUUUAUUUUCCUUCACUUUUUAUUUUCCUUUAUUUUUCCUCUCUAUUUUAUUUUCUUUGCAUUUUCCCUCCGAUUUUCCUAGAACCAAACAUAGCCUAAAUUCAUUUGGAAUUUCCCUAUUUUAAGCUUUCUCGUCUACUAGUCUAUUUUCUCAGCAGUCAAACAGAGUAAUAAUCAAGGCUAUCAAGCACCAGAAAUUUAAAAAUAAAAAUCACCAAAUCAGUAGUGUCUACACUAAAUUGAGUUUCUCAUAUCUUAGUUUCCUCCUUUUCUAAGGAAAGAUAAAAUAAAAUAAAUAAAUAAAUAAAAAAUCAAAGGCUCAAAGAACCAACCUUGAAGCUCGACAUCUCCGCCGCCACCACUCGGCCCCUUUCCAUACACAUAGGAAACCAAACAAUCGGCGAACAUCGUCGUCAAAUACCCCGCACACGCCAGCAUGAACGCGAACGGAUACUCCACGCUCGUCAAAUCCCCAAACGUCUCAUUCGAGUCGCUCAGAAAAUGCAUCAUCGCCGUCCCCAUAAACACUCCGCCGGCGAACUGCGUUCCCAGCACUAGAAACGUCUCGUUCCACUUCAAGAAGUAGGGCGACACGCCGCCGAUGAAAGUCCCGACAAACACGAGAAUCAGACAGUAGAUCUUCACCAGAAUCAGUGGCUUCGUCCUCAAGUCAACGCUGUCCGACGACGGCUCGUCACCAUCAUCAUCAUGAUCGCCGCCAUGGGCUGCGGCGACGGCGGCGAAGGCGAGGAGGAGAAGAGAGAGGGAGAGGAGAGAGCGAGGCAUUGGAAACGGAGGGAUGAAGAAGGAAGCAUUUGAAUCAGGCUGUAGGGUUUCUAUAUUCUUUUAUAUAUGAGAGGGUUGGUUGGAAUUGUACGAUACAGAGACGAAUGGUGAAAGAGGGCAAGUACUCAGUACUGCACAAAGAAGACACGAACGUGGAAAGUAUAUAAUGAUUAAUGACUAACCAUUUAUAGCUUCACAGCCAAGCUUCUCCUCCCCUGCCUUUUGGGCAGCGGCUGGUAUUUCCGCGUGAUAAAGGAGAUGCACACGUUCUUGGGAUCUUUUUCUAAAAAGGAGUUAAUUUUAUUUUAUUUUAAUUUUCUUGAUACUUCGUUGUUUCUGCUAUCAAAGAAUGAUUGAAAAGAUUUAAUAUUGGAUAUUUUAUUUUUAUUUAAAAUGGUUUUAUGGUUCUUUUUGGAUAUUUUAAUUUAAACAUGUACGGCUGUCAAUUAUUUUAUGUAAUAUGUCUUUUUCCUGAUAUAUUGCAUUUAAAAAGGAAUGUAAAUUAUAUAUACAUUUUUUUCUGUAUAUCAAAUUUCUAAUGAAAAUUCUUGAUGAUUGAAAAUAUAUUAUAAAAUUUAAAUUAUUGCAUCAAAAAAAUAAAUAAUAAAAUUAAGAUAUAAAAAAAAUAACCUGGUUGCAAGCAAUGACUUUGACUAGCUCUGAAGAAUAUAACACAAGAAUUUUGCCAUUUAUGAAUGAAACCACCAUACCAUACUUAACUUAUCUAACAGUAGAUUGCUUAUUUAUGCCAAAAUCAAACAUCCCUGCUCCAUAUGAGAGAAAUGUUCAUCGUAACUGCAUACCAGUAUGCUUCAUUUUUAGAAGUUUCUAUAUACAACAACAUGGUUGACCUUUUCCCUCUUUAUUUUUAUUCUUACAAAUUUUCCUUCACUGCUCAUCUGAAAGCUUAAACUAUUAGCCUUUUUUCCUAUAACGUGUGACCAUAUAUAAUUAUAUUUAUAUGAAUAUUAUUUAAGGGUAUCAAUUGAUAGGUAGGUGAAUCAAUUGAUUAGGCAUCCAAGAGUCUUAUGUAUGGAAGACUCAAAUUACAAAUGAGGAGUUAGAAAAUUUAACUCAUAUGAAUGUGGUGUUACAAUUUUUGUAACCCCAUCUUUAUGAAAUUUAUUUGUACAUUAUGUUUAUGAGUAAUGGAGGAAAAUAGAAAGAUAUAACCUAUACAAUUAUAUGGAUGCAUUCAAGUUCAUAACCCACUAUUACCCAUUAAUUUGUACAUAAUGGGUGUAAAUAAUGAGUAUAACUUCCAUAUAGUCUUUGAUGGGAAGACUAAGAGAUGUACAACUUAUUAUAAAUUGAGGUCUCAAGCCACACUCUCAUUCUUAUGUCUUUUUCUUUCUUGUUGUUUAUUUUUUAACAACAUACACCACACAAGUGACCCAUCCACUAUAUGAGAGUAGUGAGUUGAAGACCUUGACAAUACAAUUCACAAGGUGACUCAAUCUCACUUCAUGGAUCAAGGUAAAAAUAUGAUCAUUAUUUUAGUACUUCCAUUUAUUUGUUUUAUGUAUCCAAAAUUGUUUUCAAAAAUAAUUAUUUCCGCAUAAAGUUUAUGAAAGUUUGGUUAACAUAAACAACAAACCCCACUCAAACAUUCAAACUGUAAUCCAUUAUAGGGACCUCAAAUAUGAGUGGGUUUGAUUUUUAUUUUCUAAAAACCUUAAGAAAUACCAAAAAUAAAAAAUUCAGAUGGUUUUCAAUUGCACUGUGGUGCGCCGAUUGUAAAGAUACUAAUGGUCAUGCCAUCACUGAACCUCUGAGACGGCCAAAUCACUCCAAAAUGUUUAAAAAAAAUUCUCUCUAAUCCCAACCAAGAACUGAAAACAACCAAGAAGUGCUUCAUCCCAACUGUUGAAUUGUCCAACACAACGAAUUCAACAUCGAAUGAACACAAGCACAAGAAGCACAAAGAGCAAUGAGAUGAUACCUUCUAUGCAAAUCUAUUGUAUGAAAGUGUUUUCUCGUGUAACAAUGUGCACAAAUUUGAAGAUGAGGUUUUGUGGAUAUGGAUGACUGAGAUUACACACUUGAUGAUGGAUGAUUUGAUAUUGUGUGAUUUAUUGAUCUACCACACAUCUGAUGUUAUACUAGGGCCUAUUUGCUCUUUGGUUGAGGUUUAUAGAUCUUCACGGAUUUGCAUAAUCAUCUCCACUUACGAGAUGCAUGUCGAGUUGAUGGUAUAUUGUUAUCUUAUCAUGAUUCCCCAAUGGAGUCGCCAUUUUGUGUACAUCGCAUUUUAUGCAUGCGCUCCCAUUCGAUGGUGAACUCGUUUUUUUAUUUGAAAAAGACUUAUUUUUUUAGAAAAAAGACUUGGAGUCGUCACUUAUUUUUGUUUUAUUUUUAAAGUGAAAACAAAAUAAGAAAGAAAACUCUAAGUGUGACUCUUUAUUUGGAAAAGACUGUCUGUGAAAAACCAAAUCAGGGUUCGGGGGUCAGAUUACUUAUUGGGAAGGUACGGUAAAGACCGUAGCACCCCUCUAAGCCCCUAAAAAAUGGGUCUUUACUAAAUAAGUAAAACAAACAUGACAAUUAACUAGGAAAUCAAUGGAUACCAAAAUGGGGUUACUUAGUGGCAAGUAAUAAUGUGUUAUCAUGAAAUGGGGUUAGUGCACAAUAAUGAGUACAAAAUAUAUCACAUGUGUCACUAAACAGAGUAAGAAAUCAUUAAUUGCAAACAUUGCACUUCACGUGAAUUUAGUUUUUAAAGAAAACACUAUUGAUGUUGGGCUCCCACCAAAGCCCGAUAUAUUUUUGCAUGAUUUAAUUCUAUAAAUUCCAGUAUUUGGAAUUUUUGAAUUUAAUUCAUGUUUGUUUUAAAACAUUUAGAAAUCAAGGAAAAUAUGAAAAGAUGCUUGCCGGAAAGAAAAUGAUAGCAAUUUUUUUUUUAAAAUGGGAUUUUUGGUGAUCAUAAACUCUAAAGAAGAAUGAAAGGUUGUGAGUUAAAUUAUUUGAAAACCAGAUUUUUGAAAAUCAAUAUUUGAAGGCAUGUAUAAAAAUGAAUAAAUAAAGGAAGCAAGUGGGCUUUGAAAAUGAACAUAGGAGAAUGACCAUGCAAACCAUGCAAUAGUGGAGUCCUAGGCUUGGGGCGUCACGAACACUGGUUACAUGUUGUUUCUGAAACCCAAUUAAGCAGGAACGAUGGAGACUGCAAGAUGCUGAGUGUACCAAAGAUGGAGAUGGGCAAGAAUUGGUCAUAUGCACACUAAAGUGGCCAUGCGAAUGAGUAGCCUUGUGAACCUAAGCAUCAAUUCUUCCUUGUAAAAGAACCAUGAUUGAAAUUGCAAUAUUUCUAUUUUCAAACACUGGACUGUCACUACUAAUCACCACUACUCCGACCAUGUUUGUUGUUGAAUACGAUGAGGGACUUAGGAAAGAACCUAAGCAUCAAUAGACUCUUUCUCGGCCUCUAUAAGAAACUACAUAAAAUGCAUCUCUAUACCAAAAAAUGGUGGAAUAAAAUCUAUAAUAUUUUCCUUGAAGAAUUUUAGCUUCUUCAUUAUGUAUAUAAUCUAAUUAGAUUGAUCACAUUUUUUUUUUUUAUAAAUAUCAAUCAGAUAUCAUAUUGAAUCCAUUCUUAAUCAUGAAUAUUAUAUUCAUUUAAAUAAUAUUCAAAAGUAUGCUUAGUUUAUAAGUCAAAAGGACUUUUUUUUUUUGUGGAAUUGUGAUAUCUUUAUGGUAAAAUGGCAAGGCGCACAGAAGGGCCAUUUGGGUAAGAUCAAGUUGUUUGGACUGGAGUGCAUGUGGAUCGUACUAAUGUGGUCAAAAUCAAAUCAAAUCCAUGUCCAAAACAUGAUUGAGUGGAAAAGCAAGCAAACUCCAAUGAACCAACGUUUCAUUUGUGAUGGUUAAGAGAUGUGUUAAGAAACAUGAUAUGCAUGUUGAACUCAAAUCCUCUAAAUAUGAGCUUUUAGAAAAAUUGGUAGUUCAACAUGAUAUCAGCAUUUGGUUUGGUGAGAAGGUUUCGUGUUCGAGUUUUGGAUAUGAAUCCAAAUUCUAUUUAUCUCUCCACCAUUUUGGAUAUGAAUCCAAAUUCUAUCUAUCUCUAUUGUGUCUAUCCACCCACUAUUUUGGAUAUAAUAUGAAUCCAAAUUUUGUCUAUCUCUUAACAUGCUUCUAUUUUUCUCUCUACGUGCGAGUAUAAGGUUGCAACAUAGGGGAGCUUAAGCUUGGGUUCAACAAGAUGCUUGGUACACACACCAAUUGUAUCAAGCUAAGUCAAUACAAUCGACAAUCAAUAUAUUAUUGGAUUCUACAAUGGACGACCCUGAUCAAUACAAACCUAGUGAAUCUUAAAUCUUCCCACAUAAGGUGGCUUUUCAUCUAAGUCAUCUAACUGAUUUGAAAGAAGAAUUAAUCUAGAUCAAUUCAUUAAUCAAAAGAUGAUUUGAUACUGAUUUAGGAUUAUUAGAGAUCAUUAAAUUAAGGGUUUAUUACAUUUUACCCUCCUAACCAAUAAUGUGUUUUGCAUAUUACCCCCUCAAGUUUAAAAUCGAGUAAUGUACCUUCCAUGCAUCAUAAUUACAUGCAAUGUGUAUUUUUAGAGUGACGAUGUUACCUUAAUUAGACGAAAGGUUCAUGUACUCUCCACAUGACCUAUUUAAAUGAGGGCAAAAGAGUCAUUUCAUUUUAAAACGCCAAAACCCUGACCCACUCUCCUUUUUCCUUCAUUCAUUCCUUCCCUCAAUCUUCGUUGUUUAUCUCGCCUCUGUUGCCAUUGGCGCCGUUGUGGACCCUUCACCGACCACCCAUUGCACCACCACCUUCCCGUCGUGACUUCACUCUCCUCAAAUCCUACAUUGUCAUUCUCGUAAACAAACGCUAGCCCCAACGCCUCCCUAAAAAGCAUCAUUUUGAUGAUUAACCGCCAGCAAAACCUCGGUCUUGACCUCGCCCUCCGAAUAGUCAACCAUGUCGACAAAUUCCACCCCAAUUUUUCCCACUAUUAGGAAACCUACCUCGUCAUAAUAAAGUUACUAAUUGCUUCAAACUUGCCAAAUCUUGUAUUUUCCAAUUUCUUUAAAUUCUUUUUUUUUUCAUCACGGAAAUUUAAAUGAGAGAAAGGAUUAUAAAUGCUUAAGAAAAGUUUUUAUUUUCAAAUUUUUGUUUCUCAAGCAUUUUCGCUGGAUUUGGCAAGGUUGUCAUUUGAAUUUUGAAUUGAUUUUCCUUUUAGAUUUUUAUAUUAUAUUGUAUUUCAAUCAUUUUUUGUUUGACGAUUUGAAUUUGAUUGUCUUGGAUUGUGAUGGUUUUUCAAUUCGGUGCUUUAACUAUUAGGUAAAACAACUUGUUUGGUUAUGUUUUUUUUUUUUUUUUGUGAAUCUGUCUAUUUUUUAAGAUACUGCAAAUUGUUUGGUAAAACUUGUUUGGUUGUUGAGAAAAUGUGGUUUCUAGAAAAUGAAGGAAGGAAGAAGAAGGAGAGUUGGGUUAGGGUUUUGGGGUUUUAAACUAUAAUGACUCUUUUGCCCUCAUUUAUUAAAAAAAAUACCAUUUUACCCUCGUCCACGCAAAGAGCACAUGUCAUUCUAUAAACAAAUGUAAUGUCGUGACUCAUAAAAUGUACAUUGCAUGCAAUUAUAAAGCUUGGAGGGUACAUUCCUCGAUUUUGAACUCAAGGGGACAAUGUACAAAACACGGUAGAGGUCGGAGGUAAAGUGUAAUAAACCCUUAAAUUAAUUACAAAAGUGUGUGCCUUUUGAUUAGAUUUGUUAAGCAACUGAUGCCCUCGAUUAAUCAAUGCGCGCAGAUGUUCCCAAAUCAGCCAUGUGCAAGACUGACAGUGGGAUGCUUACCUUAGUUUUACUUCUUUCGCAUUAGCAAAACGACUUUUAGACGUCAAAGCCCCUAUAUUUAUAUUAUUUCCCUCUGUCCUGCACAAAUAUUUAUUUUUUAACCUUACCAUUUUGAAGGUUUUUUCACCGUAUUGUGCUCCCCUUUUCAUAUUUUUUUUGCAGGACAUUUUCUAGGGAUAGCAGCAUUAUGGUUUGUCCAAGUUGGCGUUGAAAUCUACCGAUUCUUCUCUUGUAUGAUUAACUUUGAAGAAAAGAUUGAUAGGGUCGAUAAGGCUGAAAGAGUCAAGCUUCUAGGAAAGAAAGUUACGGGUUCUACCGUCAAAUGUGGUGCAUCACUAGUUUUUGCUUCCAUAGCAGUCGGGAUUGGUGCCACCCUUUUCUAUCCUUCAGCUCGUCAGUGGAUUGGUGGGUACAUCUCCUCAUCUACAAGUACCCUAUAAAGCUUUUUGCAUAAUGUCAGUAACAUACAAAAUAUCUGCAAGUAGCUUGCUAAUUUUUAUAGAAUGUAGAAAGGAAAAGAUCUUUGAUCUGUAAAAUUUCCAAUACUUAAAUGUACUUCUCCUGCAGGCUGUGCUGCUGGGGACUUUGGCUGGGCCCAUUAUUGUAUCAAUUUGCUUUGAAAAGGUUCUUCAUGUAGACCUUUAGAAGAGCACACGGGAUAAGUUGUCUGAUGGAUUUUGGCACCUGCUUCAAAUUGUGGGUUUUAAACGAUAGUUGGAAAAAAAACAAUUUAAAAGUGGUAGUUACAAAAUCUAUUAAACUUUUUGUCAGUAUCUCUUUCAUAUUUUUCAUAUUAAUAAUACAUGUUAAAAAAAUUGAGUUUACACUAAAUAUGUCUCCUCAAGAAACACCUACCGUAAUUCCAUAAAAUCGAAAUUAUACUAAAAGGUAUUUUUUUAAGAUAUACUUUUUCAUAAUUUUUUUAUUAAUCAUGCAUGCUAAAACAUUGAAUUUAUAGGUGUCCCUUGAAUAAACACUUUCGUGUUAACCACAUAGAGAAAAAAAAAAUUACACUUAACAUAUAUCCACAAUUCCACAAAAUUGAAUUUAUACAAAAUAUGUUUUUUGAAUAAACACCUUUCACAACUUUUAUAUUAGCCACCCAUCGAAAGUAAUUGAAUUUAUAUCAAGGGUACAUCUUAAAAAGACAUUUUCAGUAUAAAUUUAAUUUCGUGAAAUUAUAGAAAAUGCAUCUUAAAGUAAUAUCUUUAAUGUAAAUUCAAUUUUUUCACUGUAUAACUUAUAUGAAAAUUGAUUUAAUUGUAAUUCAUCGAUAUGUUUUGAUGUUAGUAUAAAAGCCUAUUUGGUAAUGAUUAUAAGAAACGCUUUUAAUUUUUUUAACAUUAUAAAACUUUUAUCUUUUAAGUAUUAAAAAAUCUAAAAACAUUUCUUAGAAAUACUACCAAACACACUCUAAAUUUGAUAGGUUUGCGUUUUCCUUCAUAGAUGAUCUGAACUGGCCAUUGAAUUGUGCCCUCGGUAUAUCCCAUUGUUAAAUGAUGGAUGAUCUGCAAAUAAUCUGAACUGAUUCUAAGCCAUCUUUUUCAGAACAUGAGCUGAUUAACCCCUAGUUUUCUAAUGACUUGUUUUCUUCACAUGUCCUCAUGAUGCUCUACCAUUACUGGAUCCAUGAAGCUGAAGUCACAUUUCAAAUGAUACAAAAUAUGUUACAGAGCAUCAGAUACCGAAUAUCUUUUCACUCGUCUAAAUACUAUUUUACUUGUAGUAUAUGUAUCUAAAGAUCCCAUUGAAAAGAAAAACGUGGGUUUGCUUAAUCAUCAUAAAAAAGGUGGGAUCAAGAAAUGACAUUUCUAUACUCCUGGACAUCCUCUCUGCAACUUCUAUGAUUAAGGAACAAACCCAAGAUGAGCUCAGGUGUCCCAGAUCAUCACAACAGCGAUUACCCCGACACCCAACAACACUGCUAAGAACUUGUAGUUGGGGGUGUCAAAGGGAACUGUCCUCUGGCAAGUGUAUCCCUUGGACAGUAGAUGGUUUAUUGAGACAUAGAUGAAGAUCCCACAUGCUAGCCCCAUUGAUAUGGCGUAUAUCCAGUCAGCCACAGCGCCCUGGGUAGUGGCAUCUAUGACGAUACCAAUGGCCACUCCAACUGGGCUAGAAAUGGCAAAUGCAAAGGCAUAGGCUACACAGGAGAGGAGGGGUCUGUCUGGAAUCAUCCGAAGGAGAGCUAUUCCCAUUGCAAUGGCUGCAAAUAUCUUGUGGAGACAGACCGUCCAUAGAGCUCUCCAAGCGUCAGCUUCGGUCUCUGCAACUCCAAUUGCAAUGCCCUCAAAUACAGAGUGGAAACACAGUGCAAAGAUGAGUAAUAUGUUGUCCCCAAGCGAUGUGGCGGUUCUCAGAGGGGCGUUUACAGAGUGGACCUCUGUGCAAUUCUGAUCCUGUUAAGGGAUAAUAAGUAUUCAUUUAGCUGUCUCAGGCAUUUUAAAACGUUUUUCCUUGUAUUUUCUGAGUGAUAAGAGGAUCAUGGUUUCCUUAUCAUCUUACCUGAGCCAGAGACUCUGAAUUUCCGCCAUUGCUACUGCUUUUUCCUUGCAUAUUUUCUGUAACAAAGGGAAAAUGAAUGAAAGUGAAUCAUAAUACCAUUGUGAAAGAGAGGAGUUCAAAUCCAAGUGAGAGUAGGAUUUUGUCUAAAAAACCCAUCCAAAUACAUUAAAAUGAAAAUUGAAUCGACUUCUCGAUCUCUUAUCAUAUGGCCAAGUGGACUUCUGAGAUUACCAUCUUAUAAAACCUCAACAGUCAACACAUCAUGUUGCGUAAAGAUUUGAAAUUCUAUUCUUUUCUAUCCACCAUCCAUCCAGGAUCCACAAGGUCCAACCGACUUAUUUUGAACUGAAAAAAGGGUCAAUUUUCAACAACAAACAAAAGGGAAAAAUAAAUUCUUCAAAGAAGGAAAAAAAAAAUUCUGAUAAUCUCCAUGUCAGUAACUACUCAACUUAAUCAACUCUGCCUCAGGUUUUUUCCAAAGCACCAACUAAAUUCCAGAAAGAAAGAAAAUUAACAAAAGAAAGCCCAGCAAAAAUUUCAUAACUUUCUUUUCUUUUUCUUCUGGCUUCACGGCAAUCAAAGUCAUAUCUAAAGAAGCUUCGCCCAAAAGGGUGAGCUUUUCAUAGCUUUCCUCCGUUUCUUCAGCUGAGAAACAGAGUAAGGAUUUAAAUAUCGAAGUUGAAAACGCUCACUAAACUCAUUUGCAAUUUCCCUGCUUUAAGCUUUCUCUUCUUCUACUCUAUUUUCUCGGCAGUCAAACGGAGUAACAAUCAAGGCUAUCAAGCACCAGAAAAGAAAAAGAAAAAAAUAAAAUAAAUUCAAAUCACCAAAUCAGUACUGUCUACACUAAAUUGAGUUUCUUAUCUCUUACUUUCCUUAUCUUCUACGGGAAGAUAAAAUAAUAAAAUAAAAAAUAAAAAAUAAAAAAUUAAUAAAAAAAUUCAAAGGCUCAAAGAACCAACCUUGAAGCUCGACAUCUCCAUCGCCACCAUUCGCCCCCUUUCCAUACACAUAGGAAACCAAACAAUCGGCGAACAUCGUCAUCAAAUACCCCGCACACGCCAGCAUGAACGCGAACGGAUACUCCACGCUCGUCAAAUCCCCAAACGUCUCAUUCGAGUCGCUCAGAAAAUGCAUCAUCGCCGUCCCUAGAAACACUCCGCCGGCGAACUGCGUUCCCAGCACUAGAAACGUCUCGUUCCACUUCAAGAAGUAAGGCGACACGCCGCCGAUGAACGUCCCGACAAACACCAGAAUCAGACAGUAGAUCUUCACCAGAAUCAGUGGUUUCGCCCUCAAGUCAACGCUGUCCGACGACGGCGCGUCACCAUCAUCAUCAUCGGCAUGAUCGCCGCCAUGGGCUGCGGCGACGGCUGCGAGGACGAGGAGGAGAAGAGAGAGGGAGAGGAGAGAGCGAGACAUAGAAAACGGUGGGAUGAAGAAGGAAACAUUUGAGUAAUUAUGUAGGGUUUCAAUAUUCCUAUAUAUCUAUAUUAGAGGGUUGAUUGUUCACCACAGACACAAAUGUGAAUGAGCGAGUACUGCACCAAGAAGUCAUGAAUGUGAGAGACAUACAGCUACGAACUACGAUAAUGAUAAUGACUGAUCAUUUACAGCGCUUGUUUCGCAACCAAGCUUCCUUACUGCUUUGUGGGACUCUUCUUGGGGUCUUUCAAUGAAAAGGAUUUAAUGUUUUUUGUUUUUUUUUUUUAAUAAAAAUGUUUAAAAAUUUAAAAUAUUUUUAAUCUAUUCUUAAUAUUUUAAAAUAUGUUGUAAAAAUAAUUUUUAUAUUUAUUUUUAAUUAUUUUGUAUAAUUAUUUCUUAAAAUAACUUUUAAAAAACAAUAUAAGACAAUUAAAUGAUAUUAUUUGAAAAUAUCCUUUUUUUUUUUUUGUUCUUAAUAAUAAAAAAAUAUGUUAUCAAACAUGUAAUUUUGCAUUUUUUUAGAAUAAAAAAUUAUUCUAAAAACAGUUACCAAACAAAUCCUAAGAUUUGAAAAAGAAUAAUUUAUUUUUAUUUAAAAUAGUUUUAUUGUCUUUUUAAGACAAUUUAAAUAAGUAAAAUUGUUAAAUAUUUUAACAUACCAUUCUAAAUUAUUUUUCUUAAAAUUGAAAGUAUUGUAACUAUUUUUCUUAGACUUGGAAGUAAAUUAUUUCAAAAUUUAUGAUAAAACGUAUUAUUGGGUGAUUUAAAUAGUUUUAUUGUCCUUUUUUCUGCAUUUUAAAUAUAAGUAUGGUUGUCCAUUAUUUUAUGUAUUAGGUGGUAUGUUGAAUUUAAAGAUGAUUCUAAAUUUUUCUUAGACUUGAAUGUAUUGUAGAGUAUUUUUUUCUUCGGUCAUCAAAGUGAAUAUGUCGAAAUUAUAUAAUAAAAUUUGAAUCAUUGGAUUAUUUAAAUAGUUGUAUCGUCUUUUUUGAAUAUUUUAAAUAUGUACGAUUGUGUUUUUCUUCGUACAUUGAAUUUUAAAAUGACCGUAAACUAUUUUUCUCACCUUGAAAAGGAAUAUGUUCAAAAUAUAUGAUAAAAUCUAAAUCACUAAAUGAAAAUACAAAUUAUAAAAUCAAGAUAAAACAACAUUAGUGCCUAGAGAUCUCCAUCCUAGCCUUUACGUUUGAGAUCUCCACCAUCAUUGCCUAAAGACAAGAAAAAGUCAUCGGAUGAGAUAUGAUGAUGUUUACAAGAUCAUUUAUGACUUUGGAGUUAUCUACAUCGAGUGAAAUUGAUUUGGGAACAUCCCGAUCAAAGGUAUGUGAUUUUAAUUCUCUAUAUCUAUGUUUUUGUGGUAUCCUUAUUAUUUUUUAAUAUCUGUUUAUCUGCUACGAUAGAUUUAAAGAGCUUAAAAUAGAUUUACAUGAUUGAAGUCAUAGGAACAGGGUAAUCUAAGGUUCUUAACAAGAAGACCUCACCCAUCACCUUGGCCAAUUGAGUGGACAAAUUCUUUACAUGAUCCUUCAAGUCCUGGGGGUCAAGGCGGGACGACGUAAGGUGAUCAGUGGAUUGGUAAGUACCCGAUAAUGCUUUUUGCAUAAUAUCAGUAACAACAAAAUCUCCGAAAGUAGCUUGCUAAUUUUUAUGGAAUGUAAAAAGGAAAAGAUCUCUCGUAUAUAAAAUUUCCAAUACUAAAAUGUACUUUUCUCGCGGGCUGUGCUGCUGGGGACUUGGCUGGGCCCAUUAUUGUAUCAAUUUGCUUUGAAAAGGUUCUUCAUGCAUACCUUUAGAAGAGCACAUGGGAUAAGCUAUCUGAUGGAUUCUUGGCACCUGCUUCGAAUUUGUUUACUACCCGAAUUUUUAAAGGAUCUGCCGCUUACAUUUAUGCAUAAACCAUAAUUGAUCACAAAUCACUUAAAUCUGGUGUUAGGCCAAAAUCGACCCAGCUACCCAUUCACCAAAUUUUCCUUCCUGGGAGACUACCAUUCCCUUAGGUCACGAUUGUCAUGGUCUCCAAGAAUAAUCAGAACUGGUAUUAAUUGAUUUAAUUGCAAUCGAUUGAUAUGUUUUGCUGGUAGCGUAAGUUUCAUAGGACUGCAUUUCCUUAUACAGAAGAUGUAUGAUCUGAACUGGCCAUUGAGUUGUGCCAAAGGUACAUCCCAUUGUUAAAUAAUGGAUUCGGCAAAUAGUUUGAACUAAUUCUAAGCCAUCGCUUGUCCACAUGAUGCUCUACCAUCACUGGAUCCAUGAAGAUGAAGUCACAUUUCACAUAAUACAAAAUAUGUUACAGAGCAUUGCGGAGCCGGUAUCAGAAUAUUUUGCCCUCCAUUUUCUCAUCAGAUACCCAAUAUCAUUUCACUUGUCUAAAUACUAUUUUACUUAUGGUAUAUGCGUCUAGAGAUCCCAUUGAAAAGAAAAAAGUGGGUUUGUUUAAUAAUCAUAAACGAGGUGGGAUCAAGAAGUAAUAUUUCUAAGCUCCUUCCUCUGUACUCUUGGCUAUCCUCCCUGCAGCUUCUAUGAUUGAAGGAAAACAUUUCAAGAUGAGCUCAGGUGUCCCAGAUCAUCACAACCGCGAUUACCCCGAUGCCCAACAACACUGCUAAGAACUUGUAGUUGGGGGUGUCAAAGGGAACUGUUCUCUGGCAAGUGUAUCCCUUGGACAAUAGAUGGUUUAUUGAGACAUAUAUGAAGAUCCCACAUGCUAGCCCCAUUGAUAUGGCGAAUAUCCAGUCAGCCACAGCGCCCUGGGUAGUGGCAUCUAUGACAAUACCGAUGGCCACUCCAACUGGACUAGAAAUGGCAAAUGCAAAGGCAUAGGCUACACAGGAGAGGAGGGGUCUGUCUGGAAUCAUCCGGAGGAGAGCUAUUCCCAUUGCAAUGGCUGCAAAUAUCUUGUGGAGACAGAUCGUCCAUAGAGCUCUCCAAGCGUCGGCUUGGGUCUCUGCAACUCCA